Non-coding RNA from Pelobates cultripes (western spadefoot toad), 202 nucleotides. Lineage: Eukaryota; Metazoa; Chordata; Amphibia; Anura; Pelobatidae. The record is from the annotation of a GenBank genome assembly.
UGCGCAUUCAGCCGAAAGGGAGGAGAGGAGGCGGAGAGGAGGAGGAGAGCUCCCAGCCCGGCGCUGGAGAAAGAGGUAAGUUUAACCCCUUUCUUCUCCCCAGAGCCGGGCGGGAGGGGGUCCCUGAAGGUGGGGGCACCCUCAGGGCACUAUAGUGCCAGGAAAACAAGUAUGUUUUCCUGGCACUAUAGUGGUCCUUUAA